UAAAACCUUCAACUCUGCCUUUUGCUC
Molecule: non-coding RNA, 27 nt
Filed under: Cricetulus griseus (Chinese hamster)
Lineage: Eukaryota; Metazoa; Chordata; Mammalia; Rodentia; Cricetidae
Source: RNAcentral